Musa acuminata AAA Group (dessert banana) is the source of this 2997-nucleotide long non-coding RNA. RefSeq lists it as uncharacterized. NCBI's taxonomy places the organism in Eukaryota, Viridiplantae, Streptophyta, Magnoliopsida, Zingiberales, Musaceae. The transcript is spliced from 5 exons. The record is from RefSeq and is a predicted model, not a curated record.
AGUAAUUUUAAUUACGAUGGAUCGCCUUCUCCACGCGCGUUGCAAGGGCCAGUAGGAGGAGGAUGUGCAAGCGGCCGGAGUAGCGGUGGUGACCACUCGAGGAUGCGAUGGCGCCGUCGUCGACCUCGUAUCCUCCGUUGAGUUCUGCAUCGACCGAACGUGUCCCUCAGCAGCUGAGGGUGGGAAGUGUAAGGGGUCUGGGUUUUUCGAUUUGACUCACAAGAUUCAGUAAAUUAUGUGAUUGAAAACCGGCAUGGCUCCUUCUCCGAGUAAAAAUUGUAAGAAGCAAUAAUAAGCCAAACAGACUUUCAUUUGAUUGAUGAAAAAGCAAGUGGAAUAAUAGCAAAUUCAUAUGCAUAAUUACAUGUUUCCAGUGCCCGGGCCCGAGGGGGUCUAUAUCAUGGUAUUGUUACUGCUUGCAGCAUACCGAUGGUGAUGCGAUACCCCCAGAUGAAAGUCUUCUUGCAAAGGUUAAGAAUCGAAGGGAGGCACCGUGAGUUUGCUGUUUGAUGACAUAAAUUCCUCAAAUUCUUGUAGAUUUGUGUCUGUUGGAAGCCGAAUCCUUGAAUUUGUGGAGCAUAUAAGACCAUUCAUGGGCUGGCAAAUUAGACCUGUGCAUUUUGUCUCCCAAAAAAAAAAAAAAAAAAAGAUUAAUCCAGACCAUAUUUUUGUAAAAUCUGUUUUGCGAAAGAAGAAAAAAAUCACUUAGUCAGAAAUAUAUUUUGCAAAAGGAAAAGGGGAAAUGGAGGAAGCCUACCUACAUUGGAAGAUUGAACCUCUUUAUUCAUGCCCGGACAAGAAUGCUUGCAAAGGAAAGACAAACUACUACUUCUCUCCUAUGUGUGCAUCAUCAAUAGCGCUUCAGCGUUCUGUUACUUUUUUUUAUUUUUUGCUUGUUUUCCUUCUCUCUUUUCUGCGUCCUCGAUGGAUUGCUCGAGAAAGAGAAGACAUGGAUGCAUGACAACUCUGGGAAAUCGCUCUGACUUUUGUGUGUUUUCCCCUCUUAUUCUUCUCUCUUUUCUUGACAGGGAACCACGCUGCCUUGGACCCCGGCACCGACAGCGACGGGAAGGCCGGAGGCAGACGGGGACGGUGUGGUCGCCAUCAUCAACCCGUGGUGUGGGAAGCGAGGCGGAGGAGGAGGAGGAGCUGCCUGCCUGCCUGCCUGCCUUGUGCAUGCCCCCCUAUCUCUUUUCUCUCUCUCUCUCUCUCUCACAGCCCCACCCAGGACAACAAGCAUGGGACGCCGAGCCCGGGCAGCUCCCAAUCAUAAAGCAAUGGAGUGCCAUAUCAUUUCCUCCCCACCUCGGUCCUCGCGCUCCUGCUCUGGACCCCCCCACUCCCCCGAGGGAUGGGCUGACCUGAGCCUACUGUUCCCUCUCGCGCUCCUCAUGCGUCCCUUUCCAUGCUGUUUCUUUUCUUCCCCACCCCCCUUACUCUCUUAAUCUCCUUAAUUUUGGAUUUCUCUUUGGUUUUGCUGCAUUGGCAUAUGAAAUCCUUCACGUCCAUGUUUGUUUGAUGCUGUCCACUUGAAAGCCCUUCAGAUGUAGUGUUCCGGCUUCCACGUCUUCAGCUUGAGAGCCAAUCCAUUUCUUCUUCGCCUUGUAACAUUCUGUACGUGAACCACUAGUGCCACCCACCCCCUACUCCCGACUGACAGAAAAAAUAAUAAUAAUAAUAAUAAAUAAUAUGUUGGGGGAUUUUGUUUCCAGGACAAAUCACAAUCGAGGUUUCAAUUCUUCCAUGCAAUGAAUAGGAGGAGUCUGAAUCACCGCAGAGGUGCAGGAACCAAAGGCUUGCGUUCCCAAAACGCAGCUGCACCGGAGAGGGAUACCUCGUGGUCAACGAGCCUUCUCUGACCUCUGUUACACCAUUUUGACGAGGACAUCACCUACACUAUGGAUAGGCCACCAUGCCCCGUGUUGACCAAGGAGCCUCCCAACGUUGACUCGGGCCCACCACACAGAAUAAGAGAGAGAGAGAGAGAGCACAGUGGUCUAUGGAGGGGAGUCAUGGGGAAGAGCUACAGCACGGCAAAGGACUGGUGAAUGCAAGGGAUCGAAGAGGGGUCACCUCAAUGGGCCCCCCCCCCCCCCCCCCCCCCUCGGGCCGACAGGCUCUGCUGCAUCCCUCCAUAGCGUCAACACCAAGGACGGGCGGACGGACUGGACUGGACUGGACUGGACUGACCACACGCUGCUGUCGCUCUCACCCUCUCUUCCUCGUCUUUGCCGCCAGCGAAGAAAGAGGGGGAGAAGCAUGAGAAGCCGAGAGUAAAAAAAAAAGGCAGGAGGUUUGGAACCUUACGAUCGAACGCAGAUAUCAUCAUGUGACAAUCAUUCUUUUAUAAUUUGAGCUCUACAGGUCUGGGAGGGAAGUAAAAGAAAAGGUUUUGCUUUUCUUUUGAGGCCACCAGCAGGAGUGUCAGUAAAAGAAAAGAAGAGAGAGAGAGAGAGAGAGAGAGAGAGAGAAAUAAUCUCAAGUCUUAAAAGCUAUACAAAUGCUGAUGUACGAUGACCUCUGAAAAGAGGUCUUUUAUCAUCCACCUGCUCUCCUCCUAAAGGAACAAAAGGUCAAAAAGGAAGCUUUAUUUGCUUCUCAUUCAAGUAACUUUGGUAUGCAAAAGCUUUUAUCUUUUACUUUCUGAAUUAACCAGGUGGCUCAGGCUACUACUGUAAGAUGUCAUGUAUCCACCAUAUAUGUGUAGAGGUGAGACCACUGGGACGCAAUUUGAUUACAGAAAGAGCUGCAUAUAUCAUUAGUUUAUUGCUUCUAACAUCAUCACCCGAGUCGAUGAUGGGUGGAUCAUGUACAAGUACAGAGUUGCCUGUUGGACCAUGUAAGCUGGCCUCAACAAAACAAAUCGUGCAUGCAUGCAUGCAUGCAGUGGUCGUACAGUAACAGUCUAAAAGAAGACAAAGAAUCCAUAAAACAUCCUUCUGUUUUUAUGUUUGUAGUUUAGCAACUUGGAAGCCAUGACAUGGGAAUUAGCAUCUU